GAGACACCCUUCUGGGGCAAGACUUGCUUCAGUGGGGCUUUGGUGCUCACUGAAUCUGCCCCUUGAGUGUGUCACU
This 76-nucleotide microRNA precursor is filed under the name Myotis brandtii (Brandt's bat). RNAcentral's name for it is "mir-9229 microRNA precursor family". It matches the Rfam family "mir-9229 microRNA precursor family". The record is from Rfam by way of RNAcentral. Lineage: Eukaryota; Metazoa; Chordata; Mammalia; Chiroptera; Vespertilionidae.